RNAcentral lists this ribosomal RNA (497 nucleotides) under uncultured bacterium. RNAcentral describes it as "partial 16S ribosomal RNA". It matches the Rfam family "Bacterial small subunit ribosomal RNA", at positions 28 to 507 of the family's 1533-position model. The record is from RNAcentral.
GAUGAACGCUGGCGGCGUGCCUAAUACAUGCAAGUCGAGCGAACAGACGAGGAGCUUGCUCCUCUGACGUUAGCGGCGGACGGGUGAGUAACACGUGGAUAACCUACCUAUAAGACUGGGAUAACUUCGGGAAACCGGAGCUAAUACCGGAUAAUAUAUUGAACCGCAUGGUUCAAUAGUGAAAGACGGUUUUGCUGUCACUUAUAGAUGGAUCCGCGCCGCAUUAGCUAGUUGGUAAGGUAACGGCUUACCAAGGCAACGAUGCGUAGCCGACCUGAGAGGGUGACCGGCCACACGGGAAGUGACACCGGGCCCACCCUCCUGCGGGGGGGAGCAGGGGGGAUUUUUCCGCAAUGGGCGAAAGCCUGACGGAGCACCGCCGCGUGAGUAAUAAAGGUCUUCGGAUAGUAAAACUCUUUUAUUGGGAAAAAACAAAUUUGUAAGUAACUAUGCCCGUCUGGACGGUACCUAAUCAGAAAGCCACGGCUAACAACGUG